UGCCACAGCCAUAUCACCGCGCAGCCCAAGACCGGUUACUCACUAAAGCUAAGCAGGGCUGAGCCUGGUCAGUACCUGGAUGGGAGACCACAUGGAAAAAAACAGGUUGCUCUUGGAA
This is a non-coding RNA of Danio rerio (zebrafish), 118 nucleotides long. The record is from Rfam. NCBI's taxonomy places the organism in Eukaryota, Metazoa, Chordata, Actinopteri, Cypriniformes, Danionidae.